AAGAGCUUGACUUCGAUGAAUCCGUCAGACCCUUCACAAAUGGUCAAGGUUAUCAAUUCUUCGACUCGCAGUCAGAGGAGCCAACGGAGAAAGAUGCUGAUGACAAAGAUAUUAAGAUAAGAAGGGAUUUUACCAUAGAUACCAACGACACGUCAAUUCCUAUACAUGUUGGUAACACUAAUAAGAAUGUUGAACGGUACUUAGACAAGAAUAAAAAAACUGAAGAUGAAUCAACCAAAAGAACAGAAAAUCUAAAGGAACAAUCCAGCAAUAACAGACGAAAACGAGAUAUUGGG
This is a long non-coding RNA of Pieris rapae (cabbage white), 296 nucleotides long. RefSeq lists it as uncharacterized. The transcript has 4 exons. Lineage: Eukaryota; Metazoa; Arthropoda; Insecta; Lepidoptera; Pieridae. The record is from RefSeq and is a predicted model, not a curated record.